UCCCAGCGUCUCCUUCCUCUGCUCUGUUUCCUUCAUGUACCUGUACUAGGCGAUCUGUGAGCUAGGGUUAGCAAUUUGCUCCAUCGGCCACUCUCUCGCCAUCCGCCGGUCCACCCUACCUAGUUGUAGCACCAGUGGCCCUCCUAUCCUCUGAAACGCCUCACCAAGCAGCCACCAUCAGCGCCGUCGGGGAGCAUGUUAUGUAGCGCCGCCGUUCUUUAGGUCCGGUCAACGUCGGCGCAGCCAUCGCCAAGGAGCCGCACAUCUUCUGCAGCUUAAAGAAUCAUGUGUAUGAUAUCCAAUUCGUACUAUUAUGUAUUGUCUGCAUGUUCAGCUGCAAGCUCAUCUCUAGAGAAAAUAAAUUGCUGUACAAGCUACUGUUGUAGUUGCAUCCACUUUGUCUCUUUCAGCAAGCUUGGAGCUGGAUGGUGAUUAAGCCUUAAGCUAUUUCGUACGCCAAGAUAUAUUGAAAUUUCGAAGUUUCAGUGUGUAAAGCAUCUCUUGUAGUAAGCGGUCGAUGUAUGUUUGGACAGACAAAAGGCAGAUACAAGAGUUGGAAAACGUCAAAACAGAGCACAGUGGGCCUUCUAUUCAAGAUAGUCGUGUAGAACAAAGCUAUCCUUAUGAAAUAAGUAUAUUACAUCAUAUGUAUGUGCGCAAUGUUUGAGUUAGACUGGGUUUAUGACAGUGGUGAACAGAAAUUUAUAUAUGAUCCUAUCAAA
Aegilops tauschii subsp. strangulata is the source of this 722-nucleotide non-coding RNA. The record is from RefSeq and is a predicted model, not a curated record. Lineage: Eukaryota; Viridiplantae; Streptophyta; Magnoliopsida; Poales; Poaceae.